AGAAAGGCUGGCGGUGGAUACCUAUGCACCCAGAGACGAGGAAGGGCAUAGUUAGCGACGAAAUGCUUCAGAGAGUUGCAAAUAAGCGUAGAUCAGGAGGUCAACCUUUCAAACUGCUGCUGAAUCCAUGGGCAGGCAAGAGACAACCUGGCAAACUGAAAUAUCUUAGUAGCCAGAGGAAAAGAAAGCAAAAGUGAUUCCCGUAGUAACGACGAGUGAAAUGGGAGCAGCCUAAACCGUAAAAAUGAGGUUGUGGGAGAGCAAUGCAAACGUAGUGCCGCUAGGCAAAGCGGUGGAGUGUUGCACCCUAGAUGGCGAGAGUUUAGUAGCCGAAAGCAUCCCUAGCUUACGCUCUGACCCGAGUAGCAUGGGGCACGUGGAAUCCCGUGUGAAUUAGCAAGGACCACCUUGCAAGCCUCUGACGGGGCUCCUGGCUGACCUAUAGUGAAGUAGUACCGUGAGGGAAGGGUGAAAAGAACCCCCAUCGGGGAGUGAAAUAGAAGAUGAAACCAUCAGUUUCCAAGUAGUGGGAGGAGACCAGGACUCUGACCGCGUACCUAUUGAAGAAUGAGCCGACGACUCAUAGGCAGUGGCUUGGUUAAGGGAACCCACCGGAGCCAUAGCGAAAGCGAGUCAGAAUGGGGCAAUUCUCACUGCUUAUGGACCCGAACCUUUCUUCUUCAGGAUGCAGCUUGGGUGAAACUAAGUGGAGGUCCGAACUGACUGAUGUUGAAGAAUCAGCGGAUGAGUUGUGGUUAGGGGUGAAAUGCCACUCAAACCAGAGCUAGCUGGUUCUCCCUGAAAUGCAUUGAAGCGCAGCAGUUGACUGGACAUCUAGGAGUAAAGCACUGUUUCGGUGCGGGCAAUGAGAGCAGUACCAAAUUGAGGCAAACUCUGAAUAUUAGAUACGAUCUCAAAAUCACAAGGGUCAAGGUCGGCGAGUGAGACGACGAGGGAUAAGCUUCAUCGUCGAGAGGGAAACAACCUGGAUCACCAGCUAAGGCCCCUAAAUGACUGCUCAGUGAUAAAGGAGGUAGGGGUGCAAAGACAGCCAGGAGGUUUGCCUAGAAGCAACCACCCUUGAAAAAGUGCGUAAUAGCUCACUAAUCGAGCGCACUUGCACCAAAGAUGAAUUGGGCUAAGCGAUCUGUUGAAGCUAUGGGAUGUCAAAAUGCAUCGAUAGGGGAGCGUUCCGCCUUAGAGGGAAGCACCUGCACGAGUAGUGGUGGAAGAGGCGGAAGCGGGAAUGUCGGCUUUUUUAAGGCAAACAUUGGUGAGAAUCCAAUGCCCUGAAAAUCGCUCUGUGGGGGUUCCUCCGCAAGGUUCAUCCACGGAGGGUGAGUUAGGGCCUAAGAUUAGGCCGAAAGGUGUAGUCGAUGGACAAGAGGUGAAUAUUCCAGUACUACCUCUUGUUGGUCCCGAGGUACGGAGGAGGCUAGGUUAGCAGAAAAAUGGUUAUCGGUUCAAGGAUGCAAGGUGCCCCUAUUUUUUUACGGUCAAAAGGGGUAGAGAAAAUACCUCAAGCCAAUGUUCGAGUACCAGGCGCUACAACGUUGAAGUCACCCAUGCCAUACUCCUAGGAAAAGCUCGAACGACCUUCAACAAAAGGGUACCUGUACCCGAAACUAACACAGGUAGGUAGGUAGAGAAUACCUAGGGGUGCGAGGCAACUCUCUCUAAGGAACUCGACAAAAUAGUCUCGUAACUUCGAUAGGAGAGCCUAAGACCAAAGCCCUAGUGAACGACAGCUGUCACUAUAACGAUCCCCAUGGAGCGGUAGCAAAAUUCCUUGUUGGGUCAGUUUCGACCCACACAAAAGGCGUAUCGAUUUGGACACUGUCUCGGAGAGAGGCUCGGUGAAAUUGACAUGUCUGUGAAGAUGCAAACUACUUACACCUGGACAGAAAGACCCUAUUCAGCUUCACUCUUCCCUGGGAUUGGCUUUGGGCCUUUCUUGCACAGCCCAUGGAGCGGUGAAAGGUGAAGAAGGCCCCCUUCCGGGGGGCCCGAGCCAUCAGUGAGAUACCACUCUUCUAGAGCUUGAAUUCUAAUCUUGUGUCAGGACCUACAAGCCAAGCGACAGUCUCAGGUAGACAAUUUCCAUGGGGCGUAGGCCUCCCCAAAAGGUAAUGGAGGCGUACAAAGGUUUCCUCAGGCCAGAUGGAGAUUGGCCCUCGAGUGUAAAGGCAAAAGGAAGCUUAACUACAAGACCCACCCAACAGGGAUGAAAGUCGGCCUUAGUGAUCUGAUGGUGCCGAGUGGAAGGGUCAUCGCUCAACGGAUAAAAGUGACUCUAGGAAUAAGAGGCUGAUCUUCCCCCAAGAGCUCACAUGGGAAGGUUUGGCACCUCGACGUCGGCACUUCGCCACUAGGGGCUGUAGUAUGUUCCAAGGGUUGGGCUGUUCGCCCAUGAAAGCGGUAUAUGAGCUGAGUUCAAAACGUCGUGAGACAGUUCGAUCCAUAUCCGGUGUGGGCCUUAGAGCAUUGAGAGGACCUUUCCAUAGUAUGAGAAGAUCGGGAAGAACGCACCUCUAGUGUACCAGUUAUCAUGCCCACAGUAAAGGUUGGGUAGCCAAGUGCGAAGCGGAUAACUGCUGAAAGCAUCUAAGUAGUAAGCCCACCCCAAGAGGAGUGCUCUCCUAUUCCAACUCCCCAGAGCUUCCGGUAGCAUAGCCAAGACAGCAAUGGGUUCUCUGCCCCUACGGAGAUGGAGCGACAAAAGUUUUGAGAAUGAAAGAGAAGGUCACAGUGAGAUGAGCUGUUUAUCAUCACGAUAGGUGUCAAGUGGAAGUGCAAUGAUGUAUGCAGUUGAGGCAUCCUAACAGACCGGUAGACUUAAAC
RNAcentral lists this ribosomal RNA (2841 nucleotides) under Cucumis melo (muskmelon). RNAcentral's name for it is "bacterial LSU rRNA". It matches the Rfam family "Bacterial large subunit ribosomal RNA". Lineage: Eukaryota; Viridiplantae; Streptophyta; Magnoliopsida; Cucurbitales; Cucurbitaceae. The record is from RNAcentral.